AGAGUUUGAUCCUGGCUCAGGACUAACGCUGGCGGCAUGCCUCAUACAUGCAAGUCGUGCGACGGCCCCGCAAGGGGUACGGAGCGGCGAACGGGUGAGCAAUGGGCAGAUAACCUACCCCUCAGACCGGGACAACGGGCCGAAAGGUUCGCUAAUACUGGAUACGACGAAGCGGGGGAAUCCUCGUUUCGGGAAAAGGCGCCCUUAAAAGCGGCGCUGGGGGAGGGGUUUGCCUGCUAUCAGCUAGUUGGUGGGGUAACGGCCUACCAAGGCUUUGACGGCUAGCCGGCUUGAGAGAGUGACCGGCCACACUGGAACUGAGACACGGUCCAGACUCCUACGGGAGGCAGCAGUAGGGAAUUUUCCGCAAUGGGCGAAAGCCUGACGGAGCAAUGCCGCGUGAGGGAUGAAGGCCUUCGGGUCGUAAACCUCUGUCGUCGGGGAAAAAACUGCGAACCAGGAAAUGGGGGCGCAGCGAUGGUACCCGAGGAGGAAGCCACGGCCAAUUACGUGCCAGCAGCCGCGGUAAUACGUAAGUGGCGAGCGUUGUCCGGAAUCACUGGGCGUAAAGGGCAGGUAGGCGGCUUGGUAAGUCUGAGGUGAAAUCCCAGGGCUUAACCCUGGAACUGCCUUGGAAACUGCCAGGCUGGAGGUCCGGAGGGGGAAGCGGAAUUCCGGGUGUAGCGGUGAAAUGCGUAGAUAUCCGGGAGAACACCAAUGGCGAAGGCAGCUUCCUGGCCGGAACCUGACGCUCAACUGCGAAAGCUGGGGGAGCGAACGGGAUUAGAUACCCCGGUAGUCCCAGCCCUAAACGAUGGGCACUAGGCAUUGGGUCUUUGAUUCAGUGCCGCAGCCAACGCAUGAAGUGCCCCGCCUGGGGACUACGGCCGCAAGGUUGAAACUCAAA
RNAcentral lists this ribosomal RNA (907 nucleotides) under uncultured bacterium. RNAcentral's name for it is "bacterial SSU rRNA". It matches the Rfam family "Bacterial small subunit ribosomal RNA", at positions 8 to 905 of the family's 1533-position model. The record is from RNAcentral.